Molecule: long non-coding RNA, 2026 nt
Organism: Strigops habroptila (Kakapo)
Lineage: Eukaryota; Metazoa; Chordata; Aves; Psittaciformes; Psittacidae
Exons: 7
Source: RefSeq, a predicted model, not a curated record
AGAAUGGGGAGUCUGGAUGCAGAGCACAUGUGAACUCUUACUGUAACACUUUCAAAUACUCCUCCUACUGUUCUCCUCUAGAUAGGGCUGAACUGAGAAUACAAAAGUGAUACAUUACAGUUUACCAGGCAUACCAUUUUCACCUCAAGAUUUCUAGUAUCCGUGAAAGUGAAAAUUACUACAACAGCAAGUGGAAGCCUGUGAUAAAAGUAUUGCCACAAAGCAAGCCACGUUCAGUCACUCAAGCCACUUCACAAGCCUACCAAACUAUGCCGCUUUUUCUUUCUUCCAGACCAGAUGUGCCUUUCAAGAGUGACUUUUCGUGAACUAGCAUAGAUUGAAUAGCUCACAAACGGGGAAGAAACUUAGGAUGUUUAAGCUAAGAAAGAGCCUGACUUCUAGAAGAUAUUUUUACCUGCAGAAUGUCUCAGGAACAGGAAGAGGCCUUUCCCUGUCCAGAACUUACUAUCUCUGAAGGCUUCUGCCUAAGCUUAAACUUUUCCAUCUGUGCUCUUAUGUAAGACAUGAUUUCCUAAACUUCACCUACAUAACACAAUCAGAGCAACCAGGUUUAUAAUCUCAUGCUUAGACUGAGUUUCAUGAUAAGAAUAAAAGAAAUACUAUUCUCAACAGAAGCAGAUAAUUAUGUUGCCAUUGAAAGAAAGGGUAGUUAAUAGAUGUUAUUUGGAUACAUCAAUACAGAAUUGAUCCUUGUACUUUCAGUCUGCCUCCAGAGCAAAUAGUAAUAAUAUUCUCCAUAAUUACUCUCAGAUAGCUACAAUUAGGAGAGAUCCACUGCCCAAGCAUUCACACACCAUUCAAGGAGUCAUGCACACACACCACCCAAGACUUUAACUGCCGGGACUGGAAUCCCUUCACAGUGGGAAGCUUCAAUGAGCCAAUGGGUGCCCUUUUCUACUCCUUGCUCACACACCCUCACUCUUGGUGCAUUUCCUCCUCCUUCAGGAUUGACCCUAAGUUUCCUGCAGCAGAGUUUCAGAUGUCCGAUUCUGAGAAAACAUAAUGAUUGAGUGGUACAGCAAAAGGUACACUUAAGCUGGGUACCUCCAGAGAGAGACCUCAAACAAAGAAACCCCUGGAUAAUUAUAUAUACCCUUAUGAUUUCUGCAACCGUGCCUUACUUCCUUUCUUAAUCACCCAGUAGUGAUUUUUGUCUGAGGUCUUCAAACACCUUAUUAUAUUCUUUCUCCAUCUUCAUACAGGAAGGCCAUUAACUGAUCGUGUUGAGUUGCAGCUUCUGCUGAAGGCUGCAGCCUCCUUAUCUUCUCGUUCAUGCUUCUUGUGCACCUGCUCAUCAACAGAGCACAGGACACUAAAAAUCCUAGACCUAGGAUAAACAUUACUUAGCAACAACUAAAACAUCAUUGUGCUAUCAACAUUCUUCUCACACUAAAACAUAAUGCAGCAUGGUACCAGCUACUAGGAAAAUUAGCAAGAAAAUUAACUCUAUUCCAGCCGAAAGCGUAUCUAGGUGAAAGUCCACAGCUUACGGCUUACAGCCUCAACAAAUCUAGCUACUCGUGUUGAGCAAGUAAAGCUAAGCAGACAGCAUACCAAACCUCACAAUACUAUAAGUAACUCAUUCGAUUUAAGACUUACUUAUUUAAGCUAAACAACUAAUAACUCUCAACACUACUUCUACUUGCUUGAAUGAAACAAAAAGGAUGCAAUAUUCUAUCAGUCAUUAGAGAGCUUCCAGAAGUUUUUCAGGCAACUUAAUUUGUAAGCAAUUAUAAUCUGUACCUUUGCCUAUCUAGUUCCAGAAAUUAUUAAAAAUGUUCAGUGUGUCAUUUACACUUCAACUUGUUUAGAUAUUUUGAUUGCUAAAUUAUUUGGCUAGUAGAUCUCUUAGUAAUAGGUUUUUCACUGCUACAGCUCGUUACAUGAGCAGGCACUUCCACCAAGGAGUAUACCGAUGCCAGCAAAACCAUAUGUGUCCACUGAUAGUUUCCUUAGUUUAAAGAUUAUGCUUUUGGUUCAGGCUUAAAAAAAAUAGAAUCCUACU